AUGACUGUGACUGUAGAUUGCAGUCAGCUUCCUCAGGGUGCAGACACACUGAAUGCACUGCAAAGUGAAUUCCCAGAUCUACGGAUGGAGCGUGACUUUCUACGGCCCACAUGCACCUUGCAAGGCAGCUAUUCUGAUUUUCAAACUGCAUUUCCUUAUAUGCAGACAUUAUUUGCUCAUCACAUUUCACAAGCCAAAAAUCAGAAUUUUAUUGGGGACAACGGUCAUGGUCAUAAGGUAAGGGAAGACCCUGCAGGUGCAAAGAAGUGGGACGGCUUUACAUCCCAAUCACCGGCCAUUCAUGCAGGAGACUUCAGCUUUAGGCCCAGAGAGGAUUUAGGUCAAGAAAACUAUAGAUUGCAAGAUAACAAUGAAGCUCUCACUGGACGCAGUACUCAGUCAAGAAGAGGUAAAAUCGAGGAGGGAGCAGAGUGCAGGACAGAUGAAGAUGAUUUGGAAGAUCUUUCGAUAAUCAUGGAUGCUGAUGUGUUUGCAUACCUGCAAAACAUCAAAGAGUACAAUCGGAUACUGCAACAUCAUGGAGUACAAGUGGUUCAUGUUACUUCCGAGGGGGUCACCACUGUGUACCUGCAGUCAAGCAAGUCAGAGGUUAAACAGAACAUUAAGCAAGCCCAUAAGGAGCUAAGGCAGCUUUAUCAACAGCAAGAGGCUUUUCUAAGAAAAGACCAGGUAAAAAGGAGUGCCCUUUACAUGGCCGAUGGAUUGAACACAACAUUAAAACAGGUGCAGUUAUUACUGCCCAAUGUUCUCCUCAGCUUUGACCAGGACAACAUUUAUAUAGUUGGAGAGAAAAGUGAGGUAUCUCAGGCCAAACAAAUGCUAUUGAUUGGGGUGGAAAAAGACCUGAUGAGUUUGACAGAAAUUCCACCAUCCUCUUCUAGUUUUCCAUCAGCAUCCCCUGAACCCUUGGAGAGAGAGCAACAGGUUAUGGGUGCCCCUCAAACAUUAGUUCCCCCCAAACUAAUUGGUUCCAGCACUGAACGAAAAGGGGAGAUUGGAAAUACAAAAGAAUACAAACUAGCUGCUCGGUUUAAGAGAGAGGAGAUAGGUGGAGACAUCAGGAGUCUCACUACAAAGAUGGACAUGUUAAAGUUAGCCCAAAGCUCUCAGUCAACAACACCACCCACACGGCCCUUGUUUGGCACCACAGGCGAACUCAGUAUCGAACUGCCCAGGGAAGGAACUGAAGCAUUCAGGAUGACAGAGCCAAGCUGUACAGGGCAGGAUAUCCUGUUUAAAAACCAAGACCCGCUAUCUCUGAAUACAUUUGGUGGAACCACCUUCAGCACAUCCAAGGCCAAACCAAGUACUUCCGCUGGACUCACUUCAACACUGGGAACAGGAGUCAUGGCUUCAGUGAGCACAAAUGUGAAUUCCCUAUCAGCAAGUAAUACAAAAGUGAAGACAGCUGCUCCCUCAUCAACAUCUAAAUCUUCAUUAAGGAGGUCCAAUAGUUUCUCUGGUCAGCCAAGAGAGCAGGUAAAAAAUAACCAGGUUAAAGCUGAGCCAACGAUCAAUGCAAAUUCACAUAAAAGAGCAAGAUCCAAUAGCAUUAGUGGUGGAAGACCUAGUAAAGAUUGUCCAGUGACUGUAGUUGAAGCAGAACUUACUGUGUCUGGUCUAAUGUGGACUUACAUAAAGGAUGCAUAUCGUUCUCAGGUGCAGGCUAUGGAAUGUGACUUGCAAAUGUCUGAGAAACGACCAGGCAAAAGUCAUAUAAGUGUUACUCUAAAGGGAACAGAUUCAGCAAAAGUUGAAGAAAGUCAUCGUGAGCUUCAGAAUCUAGUGGCUAUAGUGGCCAGCGACUUUGGCUUCUAUGAAUUAUGUUUGAAUGAGCUUGGUGUGGAUCAGAAAGAUGAACUCUUUUUGGCCUGCUGCUCAAGUUUAAGGACACAUAUAUCUAAGGUUAGCUCGUACACCACAAAGAGACACCUUGUCUUGAUUGGUCCAAAAUUCCUCUGCUCUCAAGUCAGUGAUAUAUUUAAGGAUGUAUUUUCUGGGCAGAAGUCACAUUCCUCAUUCCUUCUGAAGUUGAAGACCUUGCAAGAGUGUGUAGAACAAGGUGCAUCCAAGGCAUUUUUGAGCAUACGAUCAACAAGGGCCGAUCACUCUAAAUCAGAUCAAAGCUUAAAGGAGUUUUCUUUUCAGGACACAAGUCAGGUGGUUCAGUCUAACGGCAGUCUCAAGAGUGAUGGUCAUUUGACCAAAAAGAAAUCAGACACAUUGGAAAAGUUGGAGCACUCUAUAUCCACGGAGGACAAAUUAAGCAAGGCAAACACAUUAAGCCAACUAGCUAAUGCCAAAGAAGACACACAAAGUGAUAAGCCAAGUUCUUUACCACUUGAAGCAAAGAAAAAACAAGAUACCUCAAAGAUUCUGAAACAGACUAACUUGCUGUCCAGUAUCACUUCAGAGCAAUGCGUGUGUGGAGCGAUUGGUGCAAAUGUGAAGCGCACCUCCUGUGGUGUCAUCCUUUGCUCUGACUGCAAACUGCUGCAUUCACACUGUCGAGUGUGUGGAAAAGAGGAGGUAUACGCUCAGAAGAUGAUACAGGGGCAAAGUAUUGAGUCAAAGAACACAGAGCAAGAUAAUCAGGCUCAAGAGCAGUAUUCAGGACAAGAGGACAUCAAGGAACAUAAGGGCAUCCAAGGCACGAUGACCUGUGUGGAGAUGCCUCUGAGUCUUUCAGGCUAUAAUAAAUACACAAUGGCCAAGAUCAAGUACAGCAUACCUGAUGGCAUACAAGGGGAUAAGGAUCCCCAUCCUGGUUCACCAUUCGAAGGUGGUCAGUUUGUGGCUUAUUUGCCACUCGAUCCAAAAGGAAGAAGUUUAUUGCCCUCCCUGAAAAAGGCAUUUGAUCAAGGGCUAACAUUUGUUAUUUCAACCAAGAAGGCCAAUGGUGGAGAUGCAAAAGUGAGCUGGGGCAAGAUCCCACACAAGACCAGCAUGGAGGGGGGCAGGGGCAGGUGAGUCCAGGUGGAUGAUUCUGCCAUGGCAGGUGGCACAGACAUGUUAAUCUGUGAUUUCUGCCUUUUAGGUGAGACAUAAUGGACAAUGCACCAUUAUCUUAUUAGAUAAAUACUGCACAAACAUGGGUUUUUUCUAUUAAAUCAAUGAACCGGAGUCAAUUAUUCCACUUACACUACAGCUACCAUACCUAAAAACACUGUUCAUAUGUUGUAAAUCAAAACAUUUGUCCGUUUUUUUUUUCUCAAACAGCUUCUUUGUCUAUUACUAGUUAAUACAGCCCAUCUAAAGUCUUCUGUAUUAAUUGUAGGCUGUGAAGUAAAUGAAAUCUUUCAGCACAGUGGCAUGGAACUUAAAUGCGGUCAAGAACUGCCUGGAAAAACUUUAGCUGUGCAUUUCUUUGAUAAUAAUUACAAGCCAUAGAUUGUUUGUCAGACAAGCAGAAUCAAGCGUUUAACAGCAUCAUAUGAUCAACUGUUUUAAUAGUAUCAUUUGAAACAUUUCAAAACUGUAUUAAUCCAUGAAUGGAUACUUGAUAUUGCAUAUUUAUAAUUUAAGAUUUCCCAUGGACAUUAAAUGUUUGUUUGUGCGCAGGAAUGGAUAUCCAGACUCUACAUACCUUGUUCUCUUGUCUGAGGCACUGGUGGCUCAUGGAAUUGAAGGAGUCCCCGGCAGUUAGUCAGGAUGAAGCCAAAAUCUGACCUUGCAAAAAGCACAAAAUCAUUAAGACCAAAAGACUACAGUUUAUUGUGUAUUAUUUUUUGAUACAGUUCCAAACUACACAUAUCAAAAUGUAAUCCAUGUAAAUGAAGUUUUAAAUAUACUGACUGAUUACUUAACCUUUGGGUUGCACCUUUUUUGCUAACUAUUUUUUUUAUUCAGUAUUUCUGCUUAACUGUUUUUGUACGGUAUGUAAUCAAUUUAGAAUGUAAAUUAAAUUGUUUUAGGAUCAUUUUUUUAUUUUAGAAUCAGUGUUUUUUUUCUAUAAUCUUUAUUGACAUAUAGAAUGCAACAACAUAACACUCUGUAUAUUCUGAAUCAGCGUACAAGUAUGCUUUUUAAUAAAACAAUAACCUUGCUGUGGGGGUUGUUUUUUGUGCCAUUUUUAAAUUAAAGGUCCCAUGAAAUUAAAAUAGCGUUUCUUUUAGAUGUUAGUAUCAGUGUUGUUAGAUUUUAGGAUAUCUAUAAGGUAGUGUGCUCCAAAACAGUGACAAAAUUUGUGUUUAAAAGAUAUAAAACAGAUAUAACUAUGUUAAGCUUGUAGUUUGUCACUUCCACAUCACCGGUUUUAUUCAUGUCCCCUCAUACUUCAGUUUCUCAUCAAAUCAUAACCAAUCAAAUGCUCUCUAGUAUGACAUGCCCCGGCCCCUUCAAGACACUUCUCAUUUAAUGCAUUUGAGCUCAACAACUCUCACUGGCGAGCGAAAUUGGGAUUAAUUGUUGAAAAAAAUACCACACUACUGGUUGUUUUAUUUUAUUUUUUAAAGGGCUACACUGUCCCACCCUCUCUUCAUGUUUCAGUUGAGAUUAUGUCAAACAUUGAAUAAAAAUACACAUUUCAAAGCACUUCAUGGGACCUUUAAACAUUCUUAGGCCUAGCACAUCUCUAAUCUGCACCUCAACUGAUAUCCCCAUGAAAAGAGGACACAUAUAGCAUAAAUCUAUUUAAAGGGGUGUGUUUAAUGGGUUAGCUUGGCCAAAAGGAAAACGUUAUUAAUUACCCUCAUGUCAAUCCAAAACCCUUGGGACCUUCAUUCAUUUUUUUAACACAAAUUAGGAUGUUUUAGGUGAAAUCUGAGAGCUCCCUCAUCCUCCAUAGACAACAAUGUUCGAAAGUCCAGAAAAAUACCCAAACAUCCUCAAAUCAGACCAUAUGUGAUCAGUGGUUUAAUCAGAAUAUUGUCAAGCCCGUUUUUGUGAGCACAUAAAAUAUAAAUAAACACUUUAUUCAAAAGUUUUUUUUUACUCCUCAGAGUCAGUAUAGGGCGCACAUUUCAUGAAAACGACCAGGCGCAACAGGUUAACCCAUUCGAUAAGUUGUUUAUGCAUGUGGUUUGAUGUAUUCAUUUUCUUUUUCUCAUUUUUUGUUAGGUUUUUCUUUGUUGUUUUAGGGGGGGGUUAUGUUUUCUCUUUUAUGCAUGUAAAAGAACAGUAAGAAGCUGCUAGUUCACUUAAGUGCACAAAACAUGUAGAAAUAAAUCAUAUUUUUUCAUGAUUUAUGUAUUGCAUUUUAUUUGCUUUGAGUGACUUAUGACAUUAUUCUGCUAUGUUGUUGUAAUGUAUUUGUGCACGGGUGACCCCUCAGUCACUUUCAUUAAUGAUGCAGUCCCGUUAAUAUAAGACUGGGUUUUUGUGGUUUAGUUUGGGAGUUCUUUUUACUAUUAUUUUGGGUUAGGGACAUCUUUAACAUUUGAGCACAGAAAACAGGACUGAGGUUUAAAUGAUUUGGUUUGGCUAAGUAUAUUUUUCCCCUCUUUGUAAAAAAAUAAAAUAAUUUAUUUAAUUGCAAGUUAUGUUAACUGUUUGCUUGUGAAAUGCUCAGUUUUUUCACUUACACUUACUUUACGUCAUGUAAAUAGCAAAUGCGCUUAAAGCGUGACACAACUGGCUCUUAAAGUGAAUGGAAGAUGAGACUCAGAUUGGUUUAUUCUCAAAACACACCUAUAACUCACCGCUUAAACUUAACCCUUUUAGACCAUGCGCCACAGCGCAAAGCGGAUUUUUCAGUCCUUAAAUUAGCAAUAGUGGAUUCUGACACGCCCUGAAAGUUUUAGCGCCCUGCGUUUUGCACUGAGCAUGGACCGUUAAAAUAGAGCCCAAUAAGUCAUUGGACCCAGACUAAAAGGAGAAAGUGUUUCCCCAAAAGCAAAAAUUAUGCUGUAGUCCAUCUGCUGUAUUUUUCUUUAGUUUUUCGAUUAUAGCUAGAUUAUGUAAAGAACAAUAAUAGAUCAUGUAAAGAUUACUCAUGUAAAGAUUGAUUAUGUAAAGAUCGAUUAUACAUCAAUUAUGAAAAGAUUAAUUAUGGAUAGAUUAUGU
RNAcentral lists this long non-coding RNA (6024 nucleotides) under Danio rerio (zebrafish). Its description in RNAcentral is "si:busm1-163l24.3 (ENSDARG00000117635.1)". Lineage: Eukaryota; Metazoa; Chordata; Actinopteri; Cypriniformes; Danionidae. The record is from RNAcentral.